GUGGAGAGAGAAUAAUACAAACCCUUUACAGUAAUCACAGUAGGGUUCUAAAGGUAAUCACAGCUCUGGUAUUCGAUGGACUUCGUGGGAGAGGUUAUGCUGGAGUAAAGAUUCAGGUGGUAUGGGUUUUAGGUGUCUUCAAGAUUUUAAUAUUGCCCUUCUCGAAAAACAAGCUUGGAGGCUGGUUCAGCGUACAAAUUCUGUGGAAGCGAGAGUUUAUGCUGGCAGAUAUUAUCCAUAUGGUAACUUCUUGGAAGCUAAAUUUGGAAGCAAUCCUAGUUAUUUAUGGCAUAGUGUGCUGCUGCCCAAGAUCUAAUUAGAAGGAAUAGUCUGUGGCGGGUUGGCGAUGGACUAGAUAUUAGUGUUUGGUUUGAUCCGUGGCUUCCUGAUUAAUCUAAUCCUUUUGUAGAGACAGAAAGAGUUGAUGAGUUAGUAGACAUGUUCAGAAUUUAAUGAAAAGUGAUGAACCUUGUUAGGAUAAAGGGGUGAUUGAUGGUAUGUUUUCUCCAAGAGAUGCUGGAUAUUGAUAAAACAAAUCCCACUAGCACUAUGGAGGAGGAAAGAUGCUCUAAGUGAAUGACAUUUACUCUGUUAGAUCCGAUUAUCACAAACUAGUGAGUGCAGAUUUGGUUAUGAUUCAUCCUAAUAGUGUUGUUUGGAAGAAGUUAUGGAGUGCAAAUGUUCCUCCGAAAGUUAAGAAUUUUAUAUGGAGAGAAGUUUCUAAUGUCGCUUUUGAACCUAAAGGCUAAAAGAGUUGAUUUAGAAGAUGUAUGUCCUAUUUGCAAUUGCCAGAUUGAAUCUAUUGUGCACAGUUUGGUGUUGUGUCCUUUUGCUAGAGAUUGUUGGCAUGCCUCUUCAGUGGGUUUUUG
Molecule: unclassified non-coding RNA, 869 nt
Filed under: Hevea brasiliensis (rubber tree)
Lineage: Eukaryota; Viridiplantae; Streptophyta; Magnoliopsida; Malpighiales; Euphorbiaceae
Source: RNAcentral